GCGGGCGCAUGUUGGUGACGUCAGUCUGCAGCGAUGAAACUCCUUUCCUUUCGAAAAGGAAGAUUCUGUGUUUCCUAUGCAAAAUGAACUAAGAAAGGAAGCAUUGAAGCUCCUUUCCUUUGCAUUUAGAAAAUUCGAACAGCUCUUAUGGUGAUCGGCUUAGAUACUUCCGGGUCAUUUCACUCAGCAAUCUUCCGAAGCAAAAGGGACUAUUUGACUGCAGCCUCGGGUCCAAUCCCAAUCUGCACGGACUCUGAGGUGGCGUUGGCAGUCAACCCUGCUGUAAUUAACUUGCUGCGGUCAAACCGAACACUCAUGACGGGGUACUCUUGAGAAAGAUAUGGAGUAAGACGAUAAUUUCAGUGCUCCUGCAGAACUGACAAUAUUUUUUACUAAAAAACAGCUACUAUUGUAGGAAUACCAGCCUCAAAGCUCACCGAGGACAACUCAACAAGGCCAAAGGAUGAUUUAUGCAAGCUACAUUGUUUUGAAUGGCGGUAGCUCAUUGCGGCCUACAAGAACCACUAGGCAGAGCCCACCUGGUGACCUGGACCAACCCUCUUCCACCUGCAGUGAAAGUGCAGGUUUUAAUCUUAUGAAUGGCGUAAGGGCUGGAGUCUGAAUGCGGCCAAAUGUCUCCGUUGGGCAGAUCCCUCGUCUGU
Long non-coding RNA from Cyclopterus lumpus (lumpfish), 662 nucleotides. RefSeq lists it as uncharacterized. Lineage: Eukaryota; Metazoa; Chordata; Actinopteri; Perciformes; Cyclopteridae. The record is from RefSeq and is a predicted model, not a curated record. The transcript is spliced from 3 exons.